Molecule: unclassified non-coding RNA, 314 nt
Filed under: Hevea brasiliensis (rubber tree)
Lineage: Eukaryota; Viridiplantae; Streptophyta; Magnoliopsida; Malpighiales; Euphorbiaceae
Source: RNAcentral
AAGCAAUCCAUCAACUAUUUAUUAUUUUCCAUUGAAAACAAUCCAACAAAUAGUUUUUGUUUGAAUUGUUUUUUCAGUGAAAAUCCCCCUACGCAGCUAAGUAUAUAUACAUAUACUACAACUGAUUUCCUAAAAUCAGUGUUCCCCCCUAAUAGAGAUUAAAUGUUAAUAAACAAAUAAUACUCCUUGUUCUUCAAAUGUUUGAAACCAUGGGCAAUUUAAAUGUCUUUGGAUCUUCUCAAAUGACAGAACUUUAAUCCAGUGAGCAGUUUAUCUGAUCAGAUUCAACCAAGAGAUCCCAACUUGAGGGCAAA